This 501-nucleotide ribosomal RNA is filed under the name uncultured bacterium. Its description in RNAcentral is "partial 16S ribosomal RNA". It matches the Rfam family "Bacterial small subunit ribosomal RNA", at positions 30 to 523 of the family's 1533-position model. The record is from RNAcentral.
AUUGAACGCUGGCGGCAGGCUUAACACACGCAAGUCGAGCGGGGGGAGGUAGCUUGCUACUGGACCUAGCGGCGGACGGGUGAGUAAUGCUUAGGAAUCUGCCUAUUAGUGGGGGACAACAUCUCGAAAGGGAUGCUAAUACCGCAUACGUCCUACGGGAGAAAGCAGGGGAUCUUCGGACCUUGCGCUAAUAGAUGAGCCUAAGUCGGAUUAGCUAGUUGGUGGGGUAAAGGCCUACCAAGGCGACGAUCUGUAGCGGGUCUGAGAGGAUGAUCCGCCACACUGGGGCUGAGACACGGCCCAGACUCCUACGGGAGGCAGCAGUGGGGAAUAUUGGACAAUGGGGGGAACCCUGAUCCAGCCAUGCCGCGUGUGUGAAGAAGGCCUUAUGGUUGUAAAGCACUUUAAGCGAGGAGGAGGCUACUCUAGUUAAUACCUAGGGAUAGUGGACGUUACUCGCAGAAUAAGCACCGGCUAACUCUGUGCCAGCCGCCGCGGUAA